AUCCAGUUGACCAGUCCUAAAUAGGACGAAACGCGCGUCCUGGAU
RNAcentral lists this non-coding RNA (45 nucleotides) under Schistosoma mansoni. The record is from RNAcentral. Lineage: Eukaryota; Metazoa; Platyhelminthes; Trematoda; Strigeidida; Schistosomatidae.